CGCGGCCUAUCAGCUUGUUGGUGAGGUAAUGGCUCACCAUGGCGACGACGGGUAGCCGGCCUGAGAGGGCGACCGGCCACACUGGGACUGAGAUACGGCCCAGACUCCUACGGGAGGCAGCAGUGGGGAAUAUUGCACAAUGGGCGAAAGCCUGAUGCAGCGACGCCGCGUGAGGGAUGAAGGCCUUCGGGUUGUAAACCUCUUUCAUCAGGGAAGAAGCGAUCGGGUUUUCCUGGUCGUGACGGUACCUGCAGAAGAAGCGCCGGCUAACUACGUGCCAGCAGCCGCGGUAAUACGUAGGGCGCAAGCGUUGUCCGGAAUUAUUGGGCGUAAAGAGCUCGUAGGCGGUUUGUCGCGUCUGCUGUGAAAACUCGAGGCUCAACCUCGGGCUUGCAGUGGGUACGGGCAGACUAGAGUGCGGUAGGGGAGACUGGAAUUCCUGGUGUAUCGGUGGAAUGCGCAUAUAUCAGGAGGAACACCGAUGGCGAAGGCAGGUCUCUGGGCCGCAACUGACGCUGAGGAGCGAAAGCAUGGGGAGCGAACAGGAUUAGAUACCCUGGUAGUCCAUGCCGUAAACGUUGGGCACUAGGUGUGGGGCUCAUUCCACGAGUUCCGCGCCGCAGCUAACGCAUUAAGUGCCCCGCCUGGGGAGUACGG
This 657-nucleotide ribosomal RNA is filed under the name uncultured bacterium. Its description in RNAcentral is "bacterial SSU rRNA". It matches the Rfam family "Bacterial small subunit ribosomal RNA", at positions 232 to 885 of the family's 1533-position model. The record is from RNAcentral.